Molecule: ribosomal RNA, 460 nt
Filed under: uncultured bacterium
Lineage: Bacteria
Description: partial 16S ribosomal RNA
Rfam family: Bacterial small subunit ribosomal RNA
Source: RNAcentral
CCUACGUGAGGCAGCAGUGAGGAAUAUUGGUCAAUGGGCGCGAGCCUGAACCAGCCAAGUCGCGUGAGGGAGGACGGCCCUACGGGUUGUAAACCUCUUUUGCCGGGGAGCAACGGGCGUCACGUGUGGCGCCACUGAGAGUACCCGGAGAAAAAGCAUCGGCUAACUACGUGCCAGCAGCCGCGGUCAUACGGAGGAUGCGAGCGUUAUACGUAUUUAUUGGGUUUGAAGGGUGCGUAGGCGGAUCGUUAAGUCAGAUGUCAAAUUGAGGGGCUCAACCCCUUCCCGCCAUUGAAACUGGCGCUCUUGAGUGGAAGAGAAGUAUGCGAAAUGCGUGGUGUAGCGGUGAAAUGCAUAGAUAUCACGCAGAACCCCGAUUGCGAAGGCAGCAUGCCGGCUUCCGACUGACGCUGAAGCACGAAAGCGUGGGGAUCGAACAGGAUUAGAUACCCGUGUAGUC